RNAcentral lists this ribosomal RNA (468 nucleotides) under uncultured bacterium. RNAcentral describes it as "partial 16S ribosomal RNA". It matches the Rfam family "Bacterial small subunit ribosomal RNA", at positions 28 to 507 of the family's 1533-position model. The record is from RNAcentral.
GGCGAACGCUGGCGGCGUGCUUAACACAUGCAAGUCGAACGGAAAGGCCCUGCUUUUGUGGGGUGCUCGAGUGGCGAACGGGUGAGUAACACGUGAGUAACCUGCCCUUGACUUUGGGAUAACUUCAGGAAACUGGGGCUAAUACCGGAUAGGAGCUCCUGCUGCAUGGUGGGGGUUGGAAAGUUUCGGCGGUUGGGGAUGGACUCGCGGCUUAUCAGCUUGUUGGUGGGGUAGUGGCUUACCAAGGCUUUGACGGGUAGCCGGCCUGAGAGGGUGACCGGCCACAUUGGGACUGAGAUACGGCCCAGACUCCUACGGGAGGCAGCAGUGGGGAAUAUUGCACAAUGGGCGGAAGCCUGAUGCAGCAACGCCGCGUGCGGGAUGACGGCCUUCGGGUUGUAAACCGCUUUCACCUGUGACGAAGCGUGAGUGACGGUAAUGGGUAAAGAAGCACCGGCUAACUACGUG